CCUACGGGAGGCAGCAGUGGGGAAUAUUGGACAAUGGGCGAAAGCCUGAUCCAGCAAUGCCGCGUGAGUGAUGAAGGCCUUAGGGUUGUAAAGCUCUUUUACCCGGGAUGAUAAUGACAGUACCGGGAGAAUAAGCUCCGGCUAACUCCGUGCCAGCAGCCGCGGUAAUACGGAGGGAGCUAGCGUUAUUCGGAAUUACUGGGCGUAAAGCGCACGUAGGCGGCUUUGUAAGUUAGAGGUGAAAGCCUGGAGCUCAACUCCAGAAUUGCCUUUAAGACUGCAUCGCUUGAAUCCAGGAGAGGUGAGUGAAAUUCCGAGUGUAGAGGUGAAAUGCGUAGAUAUCGGGAGGAACACCAGUGGCGAGGGCGGCCCUCGGGGCCCUCCCUGACGCUGAGGCGCGAAAGCGGGGGGAGCAAACCGGAUUAGAUCCCCGGGUAGU
This 439-nucleotide ribosomal RNA is filed under the name uncultured Sphingomonadaceae bacterium. Its description in RNAcentral is "partial 16S ribosomal RNA". It matches the Rfam family "Bacterial small subunit ribosomal RNA", at positions 338 to 794 of the family's 1533-position model. Lineage: Bacteria; Pseudomonadati; Pseudomonadota; Alphaproteobacteria; Sphingomonadales; Sphingomonadaceae. The record is from RNAcentral.